RNAcentral lists this ribosomal RNA (439 nucleotides) under uncultured bacterium. Its description in RNAcentral is "partial 16S ribosomal RNA". It matches the Rfam family "Bacterial small subunit ribosomal RNA", at positions 339 to 795 of the family's 1533-position model. The record is from RNAcentral.
CUACGGGUUGCUGCAGUGAGGAAUAUUGCACAAUGGGGGGAACCCUGAUGCAGCAACGCCGCGUGGAGGAUGACGCAUUUCGGUAUGUAAACUCCUUUUAUAUGUCAAGAAAAUGACGGUAGCAUAUGAAUAAGCACCGGCUAACUCCGUGCCAGCAGCCGCGGUAAUACGGAGGGUGCAAGCGUUACUCGGAAUCACUGGGCGUAAAGGACGCGUAGGCGGGUUGGAAGGUCAGGUGUGAAAUCCUACAGCUUAACUGUAGAGCUGCACUUGAAACUUCUAAUCUAGAGUAUGGGAGGGGGAGAUGGAAUUAGUGGUGUAGGGGUAAAAUCCGUAGAUAUCACUAGGAAUACCUAAAGCGAAGGCGAUCUCCUGGAACAUUACUGACGCUAAGGCGUGAAAGCGUGGGGAGCAAACAGGAUUAGAUACCCCGGUAGUC